UGGCGGCAUGCCUUACACAUGCAAGUCGAACGGCAGCACGGGUGCUUGCACCUGGUGGCGAGUGGCGAACGGGUGAGUAAUACAUCGGAACAUGUCCUGUAGUGGGGGAUAGCCCGGCGAAAGCCGGAUUAAUACCGCAUACGAUCUACGGAUGAAAGCGGGGGACCUUCGGGCCUCGCGCUAUAGGGUUGGCCGAUGGCUGAUUAGCUAGUUGGUGGGGUAAAGGCCUACCAAGGCGACGAUCAGUAGCUGGUCUGAGAGGACGACCAGCCACACUGGGACUGAGACACGGCCCAGACUCCUACGGGAGGCAGCAGUGGGGAAUUUUGGACAAUGGGCGAAAGCCUGAUCCAGCAAUGCCGCGUGUGUGAAGAAGGCCUUCGGGUUGUAAAGCACUUUUGUCCGGAAAGAAAUCCUUGGCCCUAAUACGGUCGGGGGAUGACGGUACCGGAAGAAUAAGCACCGGCUAACUACGUGCCAGCAGCCGCGGUAAUACGUAGGGUGCGAGCGUUAAUCGGAAUUACUGGGCGUAAAGCGCGCGUAGGUGGUUCGUUAAGUUGGAUGUGAAAUCCCCGGGCUCAACCUGGGAACUGCAUCCAAAACUGGCGAGCUAGAGUAGGGCAGAGGGGGGUGGAAUUCCUGUGUAGCGGUGAAAUGCGUAGAUUUAGGAAGAACCCCAGGGGCAAAGCAACACCUGGGCUCUACUGACCUGAAGUGCAAAGCGUGGGG
This 729-nucleotide ribosomal RNA is filed under the name uncultured bacterium. RNAcentral describes it as "bacterial SSU rRNA". It matches the Rfam family "Bacterial small subunit ribosomal RNA", at positions 37 to 766 of the family's 1533-position model. The record is from RNAcentral.